GGAUCCCAUCAGAACUCCGAAGUUAAGCGUGCUUGGGCGAGAGUAGUACUAGAUAGGUGACCUCCUGGGAAGUCCUCGUGUUGCAUUCCCC
RNAcentral lists this ribosomal RNA (91 nucleotides) under Hordeum vulgare subsp. spontaneum. The record is from RNAcentral. Lineage: Eukaryota; Viridiplantae; Streptophyta; Magnoliopsida; Poales; Poaceae.